GAUGAACGCUGGCGGCGUGCCUAAUACAUGCAAGUCGAGCGAACGGACGAGAAGCUUGCUUCUCUGAUGUUAGCGGCGGACGGGUGAGUAACACGUGGAUAACCUACCUAUAAGACUGGGAUAACUUCGGGAAACCGGAGCUAAUACCGGAUAAUAUUUUGAACCGCAUGGUUCAAAAGUGAAAGACGGUCUUGCUGUCACUUAUAGAUGGAUCCGCGCUGCAUUAGCUAGUUGGUAAGGUAACGGCUUACCAAGGCAACGAUGCAUAGCCGACCUGAGAGGGGGAUCGGCCACACGGAAACUGAGACACGGUCCAGACUCCUACGGGAGGCAGCAGUAGGGAACUUUCCGCAAGGGGCGAAGGCCUGACGGAGCAACGCCGGGUGAGUGAUGAAGGUCUUCGGAUCGUAAAACGCUUUUAUUAGGGAAGAACAUAUGUGUAAGUAACUGUGCACAUCUGGACGGUACCUAAGCAGAAAGCCACGGCUAACUACGU
This 496-nucleotide ribosomal RNA is filed under the name uncultured bacterium. RNAcentral's name for it is "partial 16S ribosomal RNA". It matches the Rfam family "Bacterial small subunit ribosomal RNA", at positions 28 to 506 of the family's 1533-position model. The record is from RNAcentral.